AGCCGUGCAGAUCGUCUUCGAAAAACGUCGCAUUAACAGAAAGACAUUUUCCUUUGUAACUCGCAAUUGAAAGUAAUUAAGUAACUUGUUUUAUUUGCUUAGCUCGCGCCAUGGAGCUUUGUCUAGUUUACCGAGCAAGUGACAGGGGCCGGAAAGCAAUUUUAUGGUUGGAGUUGGUGGUGGUGGGACUUUGUAUUUCAUUCCAAAAUAGGCAAGAUAAGGAAACUUAAUAAGUAAAAAAGUGAAAGUAACAAAAAAUAUUGUUGAUAAGCACACCCCAUUGAUUUCUAUUCACAUUUUGUUGGUCUUAAUUAAAUGUUUGAGCGUAAUUGUCAUGCAGUUGGCCAUCUAAAGAUAACCUUCGAUGUAGCCAGAAUGCAACCUUGGUAUUCACUUCAUAUUUUACACUCCCUUACCACUUUACACGCCUUUCUCGUGAAAAUUAGCUCCACAACAACCGGUUCCGCAGUCCCCAAAUGAAAUGCGUUAUGUUUAAUUUUCUGUUGUCAACAAACUUUUAGCAACUUGCAAAUAGGCAUGUAAAGAAAAUGUGGGAAUACAAACGGUUCUUGACUUCGACUUGGAGCUUUCAUUAUAGCCAAUUAUUUCACGAUAUCCAAUUUUUCACGGCUUUAACGCCACAAACUCAGUUUAGUUGCGUGCCGGUGUUACAAUCAAUUUAGACAAUGCCCGUUGAUCGCAGUCUUAUGAUCCGCAGCCAUUUGUCCAGACCAUAUUAUCACCAAACCGCGCUUUUAAAUCAUGCACUUCAUGAUAUAGCUAGUUAAUAUUAUUUUCAUAGUUAUACAUUAUAGUAAAUGUUCUAUGCAUUGUUGUAAUAAAUGUUAUAUGAUAUCAGUGGCCAACCUGGAUGUUAUGUGUGGAACUACAGUACUUGUCACUUUCUUGUACGUUGGGUUCUAAUUACGUCGAUCACGUGCAUCACACGAUGAUAAAUAGCGGCCACAAAUCCAGAGCUAAGAUGACCUGCCUCAUCUUAACAGAACAUUGUAGUUGCUGGCGUGGACUGAAUAUUAUUAUAAGUAAUAGCAUAAAAAGAAGCGAAUUAGCUAUUAAAACGUCCCGCUCGAUGAGGGUUAAUUCCCUUGGGCGCCGCUCGAUGAGGGUCAUUUAGUAAAAUUUACUAAAUGACCCGAAUCGAGCGGCGCCCAAGGAAAUUUUACUAAACGACCCUCAUCGGGCGGGACGUUUCAAUAGCUAAUUCGCUUCUUUUUAUGCUAUUACCUUAUAAUAUCAUGAUUGCGGGUAUUCCCGUUGGCGUUGUUCUCGCAUUAAAAACCAAUUAACAAUAAAUAAUGGUAUAAAUUAAAUGGUAUAAUUGUUUUCCCUGUCUUUGUUUAGUUUUAGCGAUUUCAGAUAUCUUCAUUUAUAUUCAUUUUUUCUAAUCGUACCCGCUUUGACGUCGUUUCGGGUAGGAUUAGAACUAAUUCUACCUGACAUGACGUAAAAGCAGGUAGGAUUAGAAAAUAUGAAAAUAAUGAGGUGUAUUAGUUUUUAAUUGCCCUGCGAGAACAAAGGGAAUACCCGCAAUCAUGAUAUUAUUAUACUAAUGAGGCGAACUACUAAAUUAGUUCAAGAUACAGUCGGCGCAGUUUUUAAUUUAUUGAUAGAAUUUGAGGUUAAGAAACUGCUAAAGACUCCAAACUGGGGAAUUAAUUAAGAACGCUUAGGAAUAAUUAAACUUACAGUUUGAAGCUUAAUUUGUUGCAAAUAGAUGUUGUUGCAAGUAAAGCAAGACGAAAAAGCGCACUAAUUUUUUUCUGACUUGGCCCACAAUACGAAGCAAAGACUACUCAGCGACAUGAUCAUUUUCCUGUACAAUUUGUGAUCGUGGUAAGGGCUGAUAAAUAGUCACGUGCAAUUGUAAUUAAGUUUGAUAACUAAAGGUUUAUACUCUGAUGAACAAUCACGUUUGCUUCGAAACAUUGUAGUUUGAUGUGACUGGAAUAGACAAUAUUUCUUCUGCUGCGGUUGAAUGCUAAGUGCAAAAGAC
RNAcentral lists this long non-coding RNA (2014 nucleotides) under Paramuricea clavata. The record is from RNAcentral. Lineage: Eukaryota; Metazoa; Cnidaria; Anthozoa; Malacalcyonacea; Plexauridae.